This 439-nucleotide ribosomal RNA is filed under the name uncultured bacterium. Its description in RNAcentral is "partial 16S ribosomal RNA". It matches the Rfam family "Bacterial small subunit ribosomal RNA", at positions 339 to 795 of the family's 1533-position model. The record is from RNAcentral.
CUACGGGUUGCACCAGUGAGGAAUAUUGCACAAUGGGGGGAACCCUGAUGCAGCAACGCCGCGUGGAGGAUGACGCAUUUCGGUGUGUAAACUCCUUUUAUAUGUCAAGAAAAUGACGGUAGUAUAUGAAUAAGCACCGGCUAACUCCGUGCCAGCAGCCGCGGUAAUACGGAGGGUGCAAGCGUUACUCGGAAUCACUGGGCGUAAAGGACGCGUAGGCGGGUUGGAAAGUCAGGUGUGAAAUCCUACAGCUUAACUGUAGAACUGCACUUGAAACUUCUAAUCUAGAGUAUGGGAGGGGGAGAUGGAAUUAGUGGUGUAGGGGUAAAAUCCGUAGAUAUCACUAGGAAUACCUAAAGCGAAGGCGAUCUCCUGGAACAUUACUGACGCUAAGGCGUGAAAGCGUGGGGAGCAAACAGGAUUAGAUAUCCCUGUAGUC